GCCGGGCAUGGUGGCACAUGCCUGUAAUCCAAAGGGCUUAGGAGGCUGAGGCAGGAGGAUUGCAAGUUCAAAGCCAACCUCAGCAACUUAGCAAGGCCGAAACCAACUGAGCGAGACCCUGUCUCUA
Molecule: small RNA, 127 nt
Filed under: Marmota monax (woodchuck)
Lineage: Eukaryota; Metazoa; Chordata; Mammalia; Rodentia; Sciuridae
Source: RNAcentral